This 24-nucleotide non-coding RNA is filed under the name Arabidopsis thaliana (thale cress). Lineage: Eukaryota; Viridiplantae; Streptophyta; Magnoliopsida; Brassicales; Brassicaceae. The record is from RNAcentral.
CGUAGUAAGCGGUGUUCGUAGCUC